This 1269-nucleotide long non-coding RNA is filed under the name Nicotiana benthamiana. RNAcentral describes it as "long non-coding RNA (NBEN_LNC033542)". Lineage: Eukaryota; Viridiplantae; Streptophyta; Magnoliopsida; Solanales; Solanaceae. The record is from RNAcentral.
CCAAUUUCGAAGUAUAUUCACUUAUUGUCCCUUUAUUGAAGGCCCUGCAAUUUGUGAUUUAUUUGGUGAGGCAAGCCGCAUUUUAUUUUUUAAAAGGAUACCCUAAAGUGACCAUGUUUUUCUAUUUUAUUGUCCGUCUCUAAACUGAAAGAAAAAGUUCCUAGUUUAAAUACAUGCUUACGAGUUAUUAUCGCUAAGUUCCAAGCACGGUUUGUUAAUUCUGAAAAGAGACGCGAGAUGUGGGCUGUCCGUUAACAAUUAUGAGCCCAGGCCCAACGUGUAUGGCGUAAUCCGAACAUCGGCCAUCCUUAGUCCAAUACGGACCUAGUUAACUUAUUUUGCACAUGUUUAGCCUUUACAAUGGGAUUGAAAUGUACACUACUACUAUCUAAGUAAACAAGAUUCCUACCAGUUUUAAAACAGGCUAUUUAUUUAAUGAAGUAACUAUUGAGUAUCUAACAUGCUUUUUCACAAACAAUAAUGAACUAACAAACAUGGUUACUACAACAUCCGUUUAUUUUAACUAAGCAUACAUGAAAUAACUUGUUAACUAAGUUACAACACAAUGUUUAGUUAUACAUAACCAAGCACCUAUAUGAUUCUAGUAAAGGAAGCUAACUAACAACAGUACUACUAGUUUAUUUUAACUAAGCAUACAUGAAAGAACUUGUUAACUAAGUUACUACACAAUGUUCAGAUAUACAUAACCAAGCACCUACAUGAUUCUAGUAAAGGAACCUAACUAACAAUUGUACUACUAAGAUUUAGAAUACAACAUAAAAUAAAUUCCAGAUCUUCAACUCUUCAUUUUUGUAUUUCAUGCUUCAAAUUUCCAGAUUACAAAGUUUAGCCAUUUGAUUGUGUACCUGAUAUAGGAAGGCAAAAGAAGAGGAAGAUCAGCAGGACAACAGUAACACACAACUACAGAAGUACUCAACAACUUUCAGCAACAACUAGUAAAACCCAGGAAAGCCCAAUAAUAACCAGUGAUAGAAACCCAGGAAAACUCAAUGAAAGAGUGGUCAAUCACCCACAACAAACUCAGAAAUGCCAAAUAGUUAUCACAAAACAGAAGCAAGAAGAAACAACGACCAAUAGAACAAAAGUUUCUGAUUUUUCAAAUACUUAAAACAAGAAGCUGGGAGUUUCAAUUAAACAGUAGCAGGUUAGUACUGAUUUUCACUCACAGAAGAGACCUCACUUUCAGUUAUCUGAACUCUCAAGAUUAAAUGUCCGUUUGUAUUUCACUCUUCAACUCUCUGAAUUCCU